GGCUCCUUGUCUAUAGUAAAUAAGGAGUCGGACCUGCCCGGUGAAUAUUUUAACGGCCGCGGUACUCUGACCGUGCAAAGGUAGCAUAAUCAUUUGCCUUAUAAUUGAAGGCUGGUAUGAAUGGUUUGACAAGAAUGUAACUGUCUCUUUAUGAUUUAUCAGAAUUUUAUCUUCAGGUGAAGAAGCCUGUAUAAUAUUAAUAGACAAGAAGACCCUAUCGAGCUUAAAAGAAAUUAAUAGCCUAAGUUAAUAAAUUUAAAAAAUCAACUACUAAAAUAUUUUAGUUGGGGCGAUUGGGGAACAAAAAAAGCUUCCUUUAACAAUCUUUAAUCCAAAUGAGUGCUGAUCCAAAACAUUUUGAUUAGAUAAACUAGUUACCGUAGGGAUAACAGCAUUAUCUUUUUUAAGAGUUCUUAUCGAAAAAAAGGUUUGUGACCUCGAUGUUGGAUCAGAAUAUCCUAAAGAUGCAACAGUCUUUAAGGGUUGGUCUGUUCGACCAUUAAAAUUUUACG
RNAcentral lists this ribosomal RNA (512 nucleotides) under Euthria cumulata. RNAcentral describes it as "partial 16S ribosomal RNA". It matches the Rfam family "Bacterial large subunit ribosomal RNA", at positions 1817 to 2600 of the family's 2925-position model. The record is from RNAcentral. Lineage: Eukaryota; Metazoa; Mollusca; Gastropoda; Neogastropoda; Buccinidae.